This is a long non-coding RNA of Oncorhynchus tshawytscha (Chinook salmon), 615 nucleotides long. Lineage: Eukaryota; Metazoa; Chordata; Actinopteri; Salmoniformes; Salmonidae. The record is from Ensembl.
AAUGUUUUAUUAUUUUAAGCAAAUACGGUACAUCUUAGUUAGGGUGCUGAGUCAAGGCCUCAGACCUAAGUCAACUAAUGUCCCAGGUAUGUAAGCUACUUUUGUAAGGGAUCUCGUCCUCCUCUUCUGAGGAGGAGAAGCGAGAAGGAUCGGAGGACCAAAACGCAGCGUGAAUUGACCAACAACUUCACAGAGGAAGGAGAUUUCUUCUAUUGGUCUGUACUGAGUUUCCCAUUAUUCUAAUGAUACUUCUUUAUUCCAGUCUGCGUGAUGAACUGAGAACCCAGCUGGCUGUAUGGACGGGGACAGUAUAUCCCGAGAGAGUCAUGAAUCCGUGAAACAGAGUAUUUUACAGUCCCUGAUGCCUCGUUGAAAAGAGAUCCUCGCUCUGAGCUCAUCUACUUUACUGCCUAGAGAAUGAACAUUCGGGAGUAAUAGACUCGGAAGCAGUGGAUGGUAUGCCCGCCUCCUGAGUCAGUCCAGAAGUCCACUCCGAAUACCUUUUCUUCGCCGGCAGCAUCUUGGAGCAGCUUCUUGGAUAAGUUAAAAUGCCCUGGGGGGUACGAACAAAGGAUCCAAUUCGAGAAAGUGGUAUUCCUGGUCAUAAUGCUGGAG